Molecule: ribosomal RNA, 41 nt
Filed under: Amanita esculenta
Lineage: Eukaryota; Fungi; Basidiomycota; Agaricomycetes; Agaricales; Amanitaceae
Also listed under: 2 other names
Description: partial 28S ribosomal RNA
Source: RNAcentral
CCUCAAAUCAGGUAGGACUACCCGCUGAACUUAAGCAUAUC